ACUCCUACGGGAGGCAGCAGUGGGGAAUAUUGGACAAUGGGCGCAAGCCUGAUCCAGCCAUGCCGCGUGAGUGAUGAAGGCCCUAGGGUUGUAAAGCUCUUUCACCGGUGAAGAUAAUGACGGUAACCGGAGAAGAAGCCCCGACUAACUUCGUGCCAGCAGCCGCGGUAAUACGAAGGGGGCUAGCGUUGUUCGGAUUUACUGGGCGUAAAGCGCACGUAGGCGGACUAUUAAGUCAGGGGUGAAAUCCCGGGGCUCAACCCCGGAACUGCCUUUGAUACUGGUAGUCUUGAGUUCGAGAGAGGUGAGUGGAAUUCCGAGUGUAGAGGUGAAAUUCGUAGAUAUUCGGAGGAACACCAGUGGCGAAGGCGGCUCACUGGCUCGAUACUGACGCUGAGGUGCGAAAGCGUGGGGAGCAAACAGGAUUAGAAACCCCUGUAGUCCCAUGA
This 449-nucleotide ribosomal RNA is filed under the name uncultured organism. Its description in RNAcentral is "partial 16S ribosomal RNA". It matches the Rfam family "Bacterial small subunit ribosomal RNA", at positions 335 to 800 of the family's 1533-position model. The record is from RNAcentral.